GGGGUGCUCGAGUGGCGAACGGGUGAGUAACACGUGAGUAACCUGCCCUUGACUUUGGGAUAACUUCAGGAAACUGGGGCUAACACCGGAUAGGAGCUCCUGCUGCAUGGUGGGGGUUGGAAAGUUUCGGCGGUUGGGGAUGGACUCGCGGCUUAUCAGCUUGUUGGUGGGGUAGUGGCUUACCAAGGCUUUGACGGGUAGCCGGCCUGAGAGGGUGACCGGCCACAUUGGGACUGAGAUACGGCCCAG
RNAcentral lists this ribosomal RNA (249 nucleotides) under uncultured Actinomycetales bacterium. Its description in RNAcentral is "partial 16S ribosomal RNA". It matches the Rfam family "Bacterial small subunit ribosomal RNA", at positions 84 to 334 of the family's 1533-position model. The record is from RNAcentral. Lineage: Bacteria; Bacillati; Actinomycetota; Actinomycetes; Actinomycetales.